This 301-nucleotide ribosomal RNA is filed under the name uncultured bacterium. RNAcentral describes it as "partial 16S ribosomal RNA". It matches the Rfam family "Bacterial small subunit ribosomal RNA", at positions 509 to 807 of the family's 1533-position model. The record is from RNAcentral.
CAGUAGCCGCGGGAAUACAGAGGGUGCGAGCGUUAAUCGGAUUUACUGGGCGUAAAGCGUGCGUAGGCGGCUUUUUAAGUCGGAUGUGAAAUCCCUGAGCUUAACUUAGAAAUUGCAUUCGAUACUGGGAAGCUAGAGUAUGGGAGAGGAUGGUAGAAUUCCAGGUGUAGCGGUGAAAUGCGUAGAGAUCUGGAGGAAUACCGAUGGCGAAGGCAGCCAUCUGGCCUAAUACUGACGCUGAGGUACGAAAGCAUGGGGAGCAAACAGGAUUAGAUACCCCAGUAGUCCCUGUCUCUUAUAC